Molecule: long non-coding RNA, 908 nt
Organism: Juglans regia (Persian walnut)
Lineage: Eukaryota; Viridiplantae; Streptophyta; Magnoliopsida; Fagales; Juglandaceae
Exons: 3
Source: RefSeq, a predicted model, not a curated record
CUCACACUCCCCAAACUCCACGCCCCCCCUCUAUUCACAAGGUUACAAAAUUCUCUCUGGGCCCUCCCUUCCCCUCUUCACACGAAACCUAAGGUGCUCAUUUCUGUCCCUUUCUGUAAUUCAGGAAGUUCUCUUUGUCCGAUCUGUGUCUGCAUGUUUCUGUUGAGAUUGAUUGUUUAUUGGAAGCUGCCUAAUAAAUUGGUUAACUCAUCCUCUUUAUACUCAGCCCCCACCACUGCUCUCAACACAGUUCAUAAAAGUUCUCUGGGCACCUCCUCACCAGUCUUCUUCACAUCAAGUGUCGGCAUAAAACUGAUCAGCUAAGAGUAUGGGAAGCAAAGCACCAAGGUGGGCUGAUCAAUGGGGCACAAGGGAGGAUUACGAUGGCAAGCUGAGUAGCCAGGUAGGGCACGGCAGCAGCAGCAAGAUGGAUGGUGUCAAGUCUGCGGCUUCUGCGGGACUCUUCAAGGCCAAGGCUGCUGCAGUUGUUGGUGCCCAAAAGGCAACGACGAAGCCCAAGAUGAUGAAGAAGUUGGUCCAACCUAUAUAGACUUAUAGAGGCUGCUGAGUUAAGAAAUUAAACAAGAGAGCUCAAGGCCUAACUCUACUUCCAAGAAACGUGUUAAAGCCCAAGCUCUUUUUUUUUUUUUUUAUGGUAAUGUAAUCAAACAUACAAGAGGGGAGAUGGGGUGUCCUAUACAAAACUUCCAUUACAGUGACUGCAUGCAAUCUUAGGAGGAAGAGGGCUGAAAUUAAAUAUAAAUAAAUAAGCAAUAAACCGAAGGUUCAGGCCCAUGUUACCUAGCUAAGCCGAGGAAGGAACCAUUACAAUCGAUUACUUUGAUCCAACAAGUGAAUCGAGUUGUUGUGACUUCAAGAGAACACUAAGGCAUGCAUUUAUUUGUUGA